GACGAACGCUGGCGGCGUGCUUAACACAUGCAAGUCGAACGGAAAGGCCCUGCUUUUGUGGGGUGCUCGAGUGGCGAACGGGUGAGUAACACGUGAGUAACCUGCCCUGGACUUUGGGAUAACUUCAGGAAACUGGGGCUAAUACCGGAUAGGAGCUCCUGCUGCAUGGUGGGGGUUGGAAAGUUUCGGCGGUUGGGGAUGGACUCGCGGCUUAUCAGCUUGUUGGUGGGGUAGUGGCUUACCAAGGCUUUGACGGGUAGCCGGCCUGAGAGGGUGACCGGCCACAUUGGGACUGAGAUACGGCCCAGACUCCUACGGGAGGCAGCAGUGGGGAAUAUUGCACAAUGGGAGGAAGCCUGAUGCAGCAACGCCGCGUGCGGGAUGACGGCCUUCGGGUUGUAAACCGCUUUCGCCUGUGACGAAGCGUGAGUGACGGUAAUGGGUAAAGAAGCACCGGCUAACUACGUG
This 468-nucleotide ribosomal RNA is filed under the name uncultured bacterium. Its description in RNAcentral is "partial 16S ribosomal RNA". It matches the Rfam family "Bacterial small subunit ribosomal RNA", at positions 28 to 507 of the family's 1533-position model. The record is from RNAcentral.